GGUUAAGCGACUAAGCGUACACGGUGGAUGCCCUGGCAGUCAGAGGCGAUGAAGGGCGUGCUAAUCUGCGAUAAGCGCCGGUAAGGUGAUAUGAACCGUUAUAACCGGCGAUACCCGAAUGGGGAAACCCAGUGUGAUUCGUCACACUAUCAUUAACUGAAUCCAUAGGUUAAUGAGGCGAACCGGGGGAACUGAAACAUCUAAGUACCCCGAGGAAAAGAAAUCAACCGAGAUUCCCCCAGUAGCGGCGAGCGAACGGGGAGGAGCCCAGAGCCUGAAUCAGCAUGUGUGUUAGUGGAAGCGUCUGGAAAGGCGCGCGAUACAGGGUGACAGCCCCGUACACAAAAGCGCAUGUGCUGUGAGCUCGAUGAGUAGGGCGGGACACGUGGUAUCCUGUCUGAAUAUGGGGGGACCAUCCUCCAAGGCUAAAUACUCCUGACUGACCGAUAGUGAACCAGUACCGUGAGGGAAAGGCGAAAAGAACCCCGGC
RNAcentral lists this ribosomal RNA (490 nucleotides) under Salmonella enterica. Its description in RNAcentral is "partial 23S ribosomal RNA". It matches the Rfam family "Bacterial large subunit ribosomal RNA", at positions 1 to 530 of the family's 2925-position model. Lineage: Bacteria; Pseudomonadati; Pseudomonadota; Gammaproteobacteria; Enterobacterales; Enterobacteriaceae. The record is from RNAcentral.